This 249-nucleotide non-coding RNA is filed under the name Cryptosporidium parvum. The record is from RNAcentral. Lineage: Eukaryota; Apicomplexa; Conoidasida; Eucoccidiorida; Cryptosporidiidae.
AACUUGUUAUCAGAUGAAAUUGUACAGUUUCUACCAUAAAAUCCUUCUGCACAUUUACAAUAAUAUCCAUCGUUGCCUAUAUUAAAACAUUCACCACUAUUCUGGCAUAUUGGUUCUAACUGAGUAUCACAAAUUCCCUCGCAUCCUGAACAUUCCACAACCUGUCUUAACUGAUUAGAUGACGGACAUGCAGUACCUCCAUUCAUUGCCUCCCUCACAACUACUCUAUAUCUUGAUUUGGUUCCCUCG